Molecule: ribosomal RNA, 483 nt
Filed under: uncultured bacterium
Lineage: Bacteria
Description: partial 16S ribosomal RNA
Rfam family: Bacterial small subunit ribosomal RNA
Source: RNAcentral
UUGAACGCUGGCAGCAGGCCUAACACAUGCAAGUCGAGCGGAUGAAGGGAGCUUGCUCCUGGAUUCAGCGGCGGACGGGUGAGUAAUGCCUAGGAAUCUGCCUGGUAGUGGGGGAUAACGUCCGGAAACGGGCGCUAAUACCGCAUACGUCCUGAGGGAGAAAGUGGGGGAUCUUCGGACCUCACGCUAUCAGAUGAGCCUAGGUCGGAUUAGCUAGUUGGUGGGGUAAAGGCCUACCAAGGCGACGAUCCGUAACUGGUCUGAGAGGAUGAUCAGUCACACUGGAACUGAGACACGGUCCAGACUCCUACGGGAGGCAGCAGUGGGGAAUAUUGGACAAUGGGCGAAAGCCUGAUCCAGCCAUGCCGCGUGUGUGAAGAAGGUCUUCGGAUUGUAAAGCACUUUAAGUUGGGAGGAAGGGCAGUAAGUUAAUACCUUGCUGUUUUGACGUUACCAACAGAAUAAGCACCGGCUAACUUCGUG